RNAcentral lists this ribosomal RNA (497 nucleotides) under uncultured bacterium. RNAcentral describes it as "partial 16S ribosomal RNA". It matches the Rfam family "Bacterial small subunit ribosomal RNA", at positions 28 to 507 of the family's 1533-position model. The record is from RNAcentral.
GAUGAACGCUGGCGGCGUGCCUAAUACAUGCAAGUCGAGCGAACACACGAGUAGCUUGCUCCUGUUUCGUUAUCAUCGAACAGCUUAUUAACGAGUGGAGAACGGACGUGUAACACUUGGAUAACUUCGGGUAACGUGGGCGAAUACAGUAUGAUAUAGUUAACCAUAUCGUUUAAUAGUUAAAACCGCUUGUUCUAGCGCUGAUAGAUGGUUCCGGGUCGCAUUAGUUAGUUGGUAAGGUAAAGGCUCACCAAGACCGCGAUGCAUAGCCGACCUGAGAGGGUAAUCGGCCACACUGGGACUGAGGCACGGCCCAGACUCCUACGGGAGGCAGCAGUAGGGAAUCUUCCACAAUGGACGAAAGUCUGAUGGAGCAACGCCGCGUGAGUGAAGAAGGUUUUCGGAUCGUAAAACUCUGUUGUUGGAGAAGAAUGUAUCUGAUAGUAACUGAUCAGGUAGUGACGGUAUCCAACCAGAAAGCCACGGCUAACUACGUG